UGCUUUGUUGUAUAAUACUAUGCAAUGUCUUUUAUGAUAAUUUUGUUAUACAAAAGUACUUUCUCAGUUUGUUUACCAAACACAUGUUUAAGUACCACAGCACUUUAGAAAUAUAGUUAUCAAACAGCAAAUAACUUUUUAUAAAAGCUCUACUUUUAACAGCUCUACUGUCAACAGCUUUUCCAAAUAGGGCCUAAAAGGUGAAUACCAAAGGUAAGGAGAUACAGUCGUUCUAGACCAAAUGCAUCCUCAACUUAGUGGGAAAUUUUAGUUCCCUAAACCAAGGAACAAC
RNAcentral lists this long non-coding RNA (292 nucleotides) under Phoenix dactylifera (date palm). Its description in RNAcentral is "long non-coding RNA (PDAC_LNC019084)". Lineage: Eukaryota; Viridiplantae; Streptophyta; Magnoliopsida; Arecales; Arecaceae. The record is from RNAcentral.